UUUCAAGCAACUCCUAGACUUAGUGCAUACAUAAAGCAAGUAACCGAUAAUUAGACACAUGAAAUAACGACUUCAAAAUAGAUAGGUAUAAAUGCACCGGGGCUUGCCUUGUUCGUUUAAAAAGUUAGUAUUCUCUGACGGGUUGGCUUCACAGGGGACUAAUUCAAAAACUUCUUCGAACUCCGAAGGUCCUUUUGAAAAUUCCGAAUAUUCUCCUUCUGGUGCUUCGGGAUCUAUAGCAUAAUACAUGCAAGGGUUAGAAAUGCAAAAUUUUGAAUAAAAGACUAUACAACUUUCCUUCAUGAUAAAGUUGCAAGCCAACAAGGACCAUACAACCUAUCAUGAUAAAGUUGCAAGCCAACACACAUAAACCCAAAAAGAUUAACCCAUAAAUUUAUUUUUCUUACUUAACCCCCUUAAGGCUUUUUCUUUUAUUUUUAGAAAAAGUUAUAAUUAUUUUCUAACUUGGAAACCUAAUUUCCUAUGAGUUAAGAAUAAUUUGUGAUUAAGAAAAUGUUAUUCCUAUUUUAUACAUUUUAUAAAUAUUAAGUAUUUAUUUAAUUACCUUAAAAGGAAGGCAUUAAAUAAAUACACGAAUUUUUAUCUUUUUCUAGGGUGUAAAAAUUUUAAUGCAUAAAGGAAAAUAAAACAAGCCUAACAAAAUUGGUUUCACUAAUUUUGGACACUCCUAGAAAUUUCUGUGAUUUAAAUGGUGUAAAACGGAUUUAAACUAAUUACUUUCCUAAAGGAAAUCUAAUUUUCCCGAAAAUCACCCGGAAAACCUUUUCUUACUCAGCCUAACUCUACCCCCUCUCAUGCGCACUGGGCCCCAUGACGCGGACCCACCUAUCCCUAUUCCCUUCUACCCGCCGGCCUCUUUCUCCUCUUACGGGCCCCGUGGGCCGUUUUCUUUUUCCUAUUCACUUCCCGGUCUGACUUCGGCCCAACGGCCCAUCCUUUCUUUUCUUCUUUUCUCGCGAGCGCGGCCUGCUAGCUGCUCUGGGCCUCCGGCCUUUUUCUUUUCCGGCCGACCACCCCCAACUUCUUGGGCUGCUACUGCGUCGGCCCAAAGAUGCCCGUACCCCGGCCUCCUUCACUCCCCGUCUCUCUGACGUGCGGGCCUGCUGCUCCAGGCGCUUCUUCCUCCUCCCGCCAAAACACGCGCGCAACAGGGGGCGGCGCGACUCGCCGGUCGGCGCCCCACCGGCGGCGAAGCUGGGUCAGGACAGCACCUCUACACAUUCAUACACCCGUGCGCGGCAACAGCUCCUCGGGAGACGGCCGGAGCCAUUCCCUCCACGGUGGCGGGCGGCGACACCUUCGGCCGGUCGUGACUACUCACGACGACGGCACAACCUACUCAAACAACUACCCUUACACCAUCCUAGGACCCUAAGGACUUGCCUACGACUACCUAAGAAGGAAGGGGAGCAGCGCAAGGUAGGGCUCACCGUGAGCGGGCGGCGCGGCGAUGGCGGACAGAAGCGGCGGCGGUUCAAGGCGUGACGGCGAAAAAGCUGGGCAACAAGUUGCUAGGGUUACUGGUGGGGUGUGGGCGGAGGUGUGGACGGAAGGAAUCGACAGGAGCUGCGGUGUGGCGGUGGAAUUUUGCUCGGCGGCGGUGCUUGACAGAGGAGCGGCGGCGGUAAAAAGAUAGCGCUAGAAACGGCGGCGCGGGAGCAGUAGUUAUUCA
This 1693-nucleotide long non-coding RNA is filed under the name Setaria viridis. RNAcentral describes it as "long non-coding RNA (SVIR_LNC010576)". Lineage: Eukaryota; Viridiplantae; Streptophyta; Magnoliopsida; Poales; Poaceae. The record is from RNAcentral.